GCAACCUCUUCCGCCCCCACCUGCGUCCGCCCAGUCGCCGCGCCUGCGCGCAGUCAGCCGGCCGAAGUAGCCGUUAUUCUCCUCCCAGGCGACAGGUGGCGCUGCACGCCCCGUGCCUCAGCGAGUCUUUGUUCUCUCCGCCCGGGAGCGCGCCCCGGGACUCGGCCACGGAUUGCGGACCGCCAGCUGAGGAGGUCGGAGGUCUCCCCCCCCCCGCCCGGGGAUGUGGAAGCUGGUGCCAGCGGCAGGGCCCGCGCCUGCCCCAGGAGAGCCAUAUCGACUUUUGGUUGGUACUGAGUAUGUUGUUGGACGCAAGAACUGUGCAAUUUUAAUUCAGGAUGAUCAGUCAAUAAGUCGAAGUCAUGCAGUUCUGACUGUCACCCACCCUGAAACUAACCUUAGUCAAGCUCUCUCAGUCCCUGAAUUGAUAAUAAAAGACACCUCUAAGUAUGGCACGUCUGUUAAUGGAGAAAAAGUUUUGAAUGGUACUUCCAGAACUCUGAAGUCUGGUGACAGAGUCAAUUUUGGAGUCUUUGAAAGCAAGUUCAGAGUAGAAUAUGAACCUUUGAUUGUCUGCUCCUCGUGUUUAGAGGUUUCUGGGAAAACUGCUUUAAAUCAAGCUAUUCUGCAGCUUGGAGGCCUUGUUGUGAAUGAUUGGUCAGAAGAAUGUACUCAUCUUGUCAUGAUAUCAGUGAAAGUUACUGUUAAGACUAUAUGCGCUUUGAUUUGCAAUCGACCAAUUAUAAAGCCAGAGUACUUUGUGGAAUGUAUCAGAGCCAUUCAAUCCAAGCAGCAGUUGCCAAAACUGGAAAGCUUUUAUCCUCCAGUUGAUGAGCCUGCUAUUGGCCCUGAAAAAUUGGAUCUGUCUGUGCGUCAUGAAAGAAAAAUGAUCUUCAGAGGCAAAACCUUUCUGUUCCUAAGUGCUAAACAGCAUAAGAAACUGAGUCCAGCAAUUAUUCUUGGAGGGGGAGAAGCAAAAGUGUUGCAAGAAAGAAGAAAAGAAACUGCUUUACUGGUAGCUCCUGAAGUCUGUGUCAUUGAUGCAGAAUUAACUAACUCGCAGGUCCCAGUAUCUGACUCAGUGAGAAAUUGGAUUAAUUCCAUUAUGACUGUGUUACAAAGCAAUAAUCUCAGAGCCAUUCCAGAAGCAGAAAUUGGAUUAGCAGUUAUCUUCAUGUCUAUGGAAAGAUAUUGCAACCCUCAAAACCAGCCUGGCAUAACUAAACAGCUGGUUAGUCCAGGAUCAGCUAUUUCGCGUCCAAUCCUUUCUCAGAGUUCGACUGUAGAUGAGACCAUAAUGCCUGUUACUACAAGUGAUAACACAGCAUAUGUAGCUGACACAGAACCAGAAGAACUGAUGGACACAUGUAUGGAGAUAAGCGGAGAGAAGAGAGAGAAAACUCCCAAAAUGGAUCGAAGAGACAAAAUGUAUUCACAGAAUAUAACCACUGUAAAGGAGACUCCCAGCACUAGUGGCAAUGUAAAUACGGGGACAGUAUUACCCAAGAUGCAUAAAACACCUUGGGUUGACCAAAAAAGUCAACCCCUCUCACCCUCUAAAAUUUUAGGAGUUAAUAGAAAUAGAGAGAAAGCUUCACAGCACGAGUCUAACUCCAUUAAAAAUUAUUUCCAGGCAGCUCCAAAGAAAAGGGAAAGGAUUGAAGAGGGAGAAACAUCUGUACCUAAACUGGCAAAGAUGGAGGAAAAGUCAUCUCAUCUUUCCAGUCAAACCCAACCCACAACUUCCUUGAUGUGGAAAAGUAAAGUGGAACACACUCAAAAGGAACAAUAUACCUUGGACUUGAAAACAAACCUCUCACCUGUAGACACAAGCCUAAAGCUUGCAAUAGGAAGUAGCAAAUCAGAGAAAGAUAAAACUGUUACUAAAAAUGUUUCCAGUGAAAAGCCUGCAUCAAAGAAAAGAAAAGAGUUAGGUGGUUUAGCUGAGGAUGCAGCUACACUAGAGCUUGUGUUUGGGAGCAAAGAGUUGGAUUGGGAAGCUGAAAUGGGGGAUCAUGGUGAGGAGCAUGGAGCCAAUAUGCAGAAAAAAAGACGUUUGGAAACCAAGGGGAAAAAGAUUGAAGAAGAAAAUGUAAUUCAAGAAGAAGCCAAUAGGAUAUUGCAAGAAAACGAACUUGGCACUGUUCCAACUUCAAAGAAGAAAAUUGAGAUUAAGCAGGAAUCAUCAGUUUUGAACACUGACAGACUUCAAGAUGUCUCCAGCAAUCUGCCCAGCAGACUCUUGUUGACUGAAUUUAGAUCACUGGUUGUUAGCCAUCCAAGGCCAAAUAGUCUUGUUGUUGCACAAAUCGAUUACGAGCAACUGAACAACUUUAAGAAAUUCAAAAAGGUACCUUAUCCUGGAGCAGGACAACUUCCACACAUUAUUGGAGGAUCAGAUCUAAUAGGUCACCAUGCCAAAAAGAAUUCACAGUUGGAAGAAUGGUUAAGGCAGGAAAUGGAGCUCAUGAUUAAUUUUAGCCUUUGGAAGCCCUAAAAUUAAUCAUAACCCAGAUUCCAAUUAACAAAGUAUCGCAGCUUGAAAACAGACAUAGAUGCUUUACUCCCAUGACAGAAGCAACUCCGGUUAGAACAGGAACAGAAUCGUCAUGCAAGAGAGGAAUCACUCGCUGAUGAUCUCUUUAGAUAUGAUCCUAAUGUGAAAAGGAGAAGAUAAAUUCAAGAGAAUUUACAAUGAACCUACAGCAAAAUCUUGAUACCCUGGUUGCUGGUUCCAGUGUACAAUAUAUAUGGGAAGUCUAAAUUAUCUGUAAGAGUUGUUUUAAGUCCUGCUUUUAUUAAAGGAAAACAGAACCAGUUUUACAUUGUUUUGGCAUUUAGAGAGUCCACAUUUCUGGUUUCAAGACUUUAAACUCAUUUGCUUUAAAGCAGUGCUAUAGUACAACUUUCUAGAUAUUUACGGCUUCACUUCAAGCUUUCUUCUGUUGGUUUGAGAUACACUUCUGCUAUUACUCUAUUGUUCUGAAAAAAGACCCGGUUAAUUUGUUUAGCUUUUUGUAUAACAGUAAUAAUUUGCUGUACAAUAGGGCUCAAAGCACAAAUACAUAAACUACAUAAAACAGACAUGGUGGGGGCAGUAACCUCAUUUUCUGACUCUGAAUAAGUUGGGCAGUCGUCUUGAACAGUAAUCAAAAAAGAAAUCACAAGUGUGAACGCUGCUGCAAUCCACAGACCUCUUAAGUUUCUUUGAAUACAUCUAAUGCUGUGCACCAUGUGAAUAAAAAGUUAACCAGACCUGUUAACCACAAGUCAAAUCAUGGCUAGCAGGUUCUAGAUGAGCUUUCCUUCACCUGGUGUGGAGAGAGAUUUUAUUCUGAGCAUACUAACAACAAUGCUGUUUACCAGUUGGAUAACAUAGGUGUCAGAAUAAAAUCCCUGUCUAUAGUGGGCAGGAAAGUUUUAGAAUUCUGCCCUCCACAAUCAUUCAUACUGCUGUGGCUACUAUUUCAAACCUAAUAUGGGCAGAGUCAUAGGUAACAUUUAAAAUAAAACCUUGCAUCACGUUAAAAGAGGCUUAUAAAAUUUCACUUUAAAUAACAGAGCCAGUUCUGUUGCAGAAAUGCAUACAGGUGCUGAAGUUAAGUCACCUUAAGGUUAAGGGGAAUUUGUUUGUUUGUUUUAAACCACUGUUUAAACUACUGUAGGUAGUUUACAGUGUUGUUGUAGCCAUGAGAGGUGGGGGUGAGGUAAUCUCUUUCACCAACAGAAGUUGGUCCAAUAAAAGACAAGCUUUUGAGCUACACAGAGUUUUGCUUCUUUCCCAGAGUUCUGUGUAGCUCAAAACCUUGUCUCUCAUCAACAGACAUUGGUCCAAUAAGAGAGAUUCCAUGUGUUAGCAAGAUGGUUACUGCCACCUUGAAAUGAUCAAUGUAGGUUACAGCUGUCGUAUGUAGCCAGCUAUCAAACAUACAUUUAUUUUUACAUGCCAAGUAGUCAGAGGUUUUUUUAAACACCCAGAUACUGCUUUUUCAUAACAGGCUUGAUCUAGAUUCCAAUAUAUAACUUUGUCAGCAAUAGUCAGUGCUCUCACAAGAGUGGCAGUUAUGUGAUGAGCCAUUAUGAAUACAUUAUACCCUACGAGUCUGGCUCUUAGGCCUUCACCCCAACCAGUGAAUGAGAGAUCUAACAUAAAUCCUUGACUUCUCAAAUUGUUAAACAGUCUGCUGCUAUUUUCAAAGUUGGUGUCUUCAAAGCUGAGGAGAGCCUGAGCUUUUCAGUAUUGGCAUGUACCAAAUUCAUAAGUGAAGUUACUGUACUAUUUUAUAAUGAAAAUAUUCAUUUUAAACAAAACUUCAAUGAAAUCAGAUCACCUCAAAUAUCCAUUUUUAAACUUUCAUCAUUUGUUCUGUUCCAGUAGGAAUAAGAGUUAGAAUCAAAACCUGCUUACCUAUUUAUUGGGACCAUUUGUAUUAAGUCAUCAUAGGCACUAGGAAUCUUUUCAAAACCCACUUCACCUCUAUUUCUAUAAUCUCAGUAAGCACUACUAACAAAUUAAAAGUAUAUAUGUAUAGGCCCUAGUGCUUCAAGUUAAAGCACUUGUUAAGGGAACUAUUCCCAUGUGUAAAUGUACUCAUGUGUGGCCGCAGUAUUUGGCUUAUAAAGAAGACACAGCUCUUUCACAUGGUGUGGAAAAAGGCACGAGAUGAAAUUGAGAAGGCUUUUUUUUUUUUAAACACACAUCUCCAUCAUCGUUCACAAAUGGCUUGCACACGUCUUCCUUAGGACAGAUACAGCUCAAGCACGUUGAAGAGAAUGCUAAGAAUUGCUCAACCUGCCAGUAGCUCUGCAUGUUCAGGGAGCCUGAUUUUACUGAUUUAUUUUGUGGCUGUAAUGAGCAUUCAUCCCUUUUUCUAUUCCUCUUCUGGGAAAGUUUCCUUCUGCACAGGUUACUUAUCUUCAAAUGAGGAGAAAUGCCAUUUCUUAACUCCUUGUCCAAACAGAAAAGGGCUCUGUCCAAGAAAAAUAAGCAGAAGUCCUCCAAAAGCCGCAAGACUAAAACUUCAUUCUCUGUAUGGGAAGGGGGAUGCUUGUGAACCAAGGAAGAGAGAGAAUAAUUAUUCUUGACAAAGUUGAGGUGAUGAAGAAAAGGUUAUCAGUGGGAGCAGUGGUAGUCAGGAGAUCUCAGCUCUGCCCCUGACCUGCUAGGGGACCUUGGUCAAGUCCAUUCAUUGCUCUGUGCCUCAGUUUCCCUACCUGUGAAACAGGGCUAAUGGCCCAGAUUCACAAAGGCAUUUAGAUACCUAAGUCCAACAUUUUAGGGACCAUUGGUAUUCUGCAAAGCCCCCAGUCAGCUGCCAUCUAACCUAAUAGGAGCCUAGGGGACUCAAGUGCCUAAAUGCUGACACCACAUUGUGGAUUGGACUCCUAACUCAAGUUGAGCUCCAAAGCAGGAUUCUCAAAGCUAUCUUGCUACCAGGGCCUGAUCCCAUAGGCUCUGAGCACACUUAAGACCUGAUACCUGUCACUAAAGACAACUGGAAGCAUGCAUAAUUCAGAGCAGGAACUUGAAGCCAGGUGAAUGCCCUAACCACCAGGCUAUAGGGUAUUCUGAAGUGAGUCUCAGUAUCUCAUGUCAAGAGCUGUUCUUGUAUAAAUAAAUAUUCAUUAGGUCACAGAGAGAGACUGACUAUAGCCCAUUGGUAAGGGCACUCACUUGGGAUGUGGGAGACUCAGAUUCAAGUCCCUGCUCCAAUGAAUAUUUAAUUAUGUAUACAGUAGAACUGCUCCAAUAGGGGAGAGAGAGAGAGAGAGUCCUAGCCCAGCAGUUACUCACCUGGGAAGCGGGAUGUGCUCUGGAGCAGGUUUUUGAACCCAGUUCUCCCACAUCCUAGGUGAGUGCUUCGAUGACCAGCACAGUGCGUCAUCAAAAAAUUUCAAAGCUGUGCUCUCCCCCAUCCCUCCUCAGGCAGUCUAGUGCUUGUGCUGCGCUUCCCCUCCACCUCUCCAUGCAGUCUGGCAGGUAUCUCAGGUCUUAGACAUGAUCACCAGCAGGCCCUUAUCACCCACUUGCUACCACUAAGGUUUCUUGGCUGUUCUCUAGCCUUUUCAUCUGCUCCCGGGACCCCAUCCCAUCCCACUUCUCACCCUCUUUGGCUCCAUUCUCACUUUUCUUCCCUGCACAAUAUAAGCAUCCUUUAGUCUCCAUCUUAAACACCCCAACCUUGACCUCACUUGCCUUUCCAAUUAUUGCCCAAACUCCCAAACUGAGUGAACCGCAUUUUCAAUCAUUUCCUGAAAUACCCAUCUUCUACCCUCUUCAUUCCACUGUCCUCUUCCUGGACAAAGCUAAGGGCUUCUGCUCCAUCUUCACUCUCCUUUUGACACUUUAUGACCAUCUAGUAUUUGAAAUCCUGUUAGCCAUUGGCUUCCAUGGCUCUCCUUUGCUACUAUGUUUAUUCCCUUCAGCAUGUUGUUUGCUGGGUCUUUCUUCUCCUUCCCCUCUCUUUCAAUAGCUGUUUCCCACAUAUCUGUCCUUUGUGCUCCACAGCCUGGAUGAAAUGUCUAGGCAAUCUUACCCACUUUCAUAGGCUCUGACCACCAUCUUUGUGCUUAUGACUCAAAUAUGUGCCUCACUACUCAGAACCUAUUCCACAUCUUGGCUCAGUAGUACUCAACCAGCGGUACGUGUGCCCCGGUCGGUACUCAGAGGUAUUCAGGAGGUACAUCAACUCAUCUAGAUAUUUGCCUAGUUUUACAACAGGCUACAUAAAAAGCAUUAGUGAAGUCAGUACAAACUAAAAUGUCAGACAAUUAUUUGUUUAUACUGCUCUGUACAAUAUACACUGAAAUGUUAGUACAAUAUUUAUAUUCCAAUUUUAUAAUUGUAUGGUAAAAAUGAGAAAGUGAGCAAUUUUUCAGUAAUAGUGUGCGGUGACACUUUGUAUUUUUAUGUCUGAUUUUGUAAGCAAGUAGUUUUUAAGUGAGAUGAAACUUGGGGGUAUGCAAGACAAAUCAGACUCAAAGGGGUAUAGUAGUCUGGAAAGAUUGAGAAUCACUGUCUUGGCUGAUCUGGUAACUUAAAUUGAACAUGGCAAAGACCGAGCUCCAUUGUUCCUGCCAACAUCCAAGACUUUCAACACUUCCCUCUCUGAACCCUUGUAAUCAAGCUAUAUUCAAAUCUUGAAAUUUCUCCAUUUCAAUAUCUUUAAGAACCAACCUUUUCCUUGUUCAGAUUGUCAAACCUCUUGUUUAAUCUCAUGACUUGACUAUUGGAACCACCUCCUCACUAACUUUAACUACAACCACCUUGGGUCCAUUCAGAACACUGCUGCCAAGCUGUUUCCUAGUUGAUCCUGGCACUAUGCUUCAAAUCCUUCCUCUGGCUCCCCUUUUUCCACUAUAUCGAAGACAAAUAUUUGGUCCUUACCUUCAAAGCCCUUAUCUAUGUAGGUGCUUUUGAAAAUUUUACCCCUCGUCUUUCAUCUCUGUCCUUAACCACUCUCAAGCAUCAUCAACACAAACUGGCUCCACAGGCAAUCAAUAAGCCAAAUGGAAUGGGUCUUCUACUCCAGACAGAGCUAGGACAGCCCCAGGCAGACCUGUCUGCAACCUGACAAAAAGCUAAAGGGAUUAAUAUUUUUCCAGAGAGAACUCAGAUUCCUCUGGGAUGCAUAUUCUGUCACAUCAGUGGUCACAAUCUUUGCUAUGCAUUUUCCACAUUCCUCCAAGACACAAAAAUAGUACAAAAAUACUAGGUGGAUGGGACAGUAAUUCUAGUAGCAUACAUCAGCUAUGGUAGCCCUCCUUUUUGGUCUCACCGCUUCCCCUCUGACCUGGGCUUAAUAUUUCUCCCUCUGUCUCUAAGCUGUUAUCUGACUUGAGAUAUUCUGGACAAAUUAUCUUUACAUUGCACUCAUCUAGAAAGAAAGUCUUGGCACAAAGAAAUUUUUCUAAGGGGAGAAAUAAAAAAUAGCCCCAGGGAUGCUGGCUAUUAUUCAACUGUUGCAUGAAGAUCUGUCCAUAGGUCUCAGCUUUAACUCCUCGAAGGUGCAACUUUCUGCCCUCAGUGUUUUAAAUCCAGAUCUUCCUUGGCCUCUAUCAUCCUCAAACUUGCCAAACUUCUUAAAGCCCUUUUCACAAUUUCCCCUGCAAGGACCAGAAUGGCAUCUUCAACACCAUUACUUGGACUCCAUUUGAAUGCUAAUGUCAACAAAGCCUUGCAUGUUUCAGUUGCCAUCACUUUAGAGUCCCAGAUAGUAUAGCUCUUUCAAGUAAGACACUUUUUCCUCUUUCAGGAAGGCAAAACAGUUCUUAAACCGUCUCCCAGUUUUAUUCCAAAUGCUCUUUCUCUCCCCAGUUGAGGUUAUGUGCUCCCAUUUGUCAGCUCAGUUCAAAAACAGCCACAAGUCGUACCGAGAAACUCUUCCACAUUGUUUUUCAUUCUAAAUACAAAGUUUAACAAGUCUUUUGCAGCUUCAGGAACCAGAUGGAUUCACUGUUACAUAGUAGAAAAUGCAAGGCUUCCAGAAAUGCAGCAUCCAAAGACGUCUAGGCUUAUUUGUCAUGGAGCAUGGCAACAUGCUGGUCAGAACUUUAGCCUUAGUAGGGAGAGAGAUGUAAGGCUGCACUACAGUCAUCUCUCCACUUUUGCCAGAUCUACAAACUCAGUUUGCAAGCAUCUGCAGAGACCUCCUUCAGGAGGGCGAUACUCCAGUCUCUGGUCCCAAUUUAAACCCUCCAGGAUCAUAGGGGAAUCUUUCCUAGGUCAUCUUUCCUACUUUCUCUCCCUAUUGUUCCUCACUGCUCAUUUCUUGCCAUCAGUGAAGACCAUCGAGAAGAAUGCCAAUUGUCUUUCUUCCAGUUAUGAUUACACUAAAUCAUCCUAUCCAGCUGUAUUCAGUUUACUUAUCUUAGAGCAGGUUCCCAGUAAAUAGAUUCCAUUUUCUCCCCUUAGGGUGACAGGUGUAAAAAAAACAAACAAACAAAAAAAAACUAAUCUCAAAGCUGGGUUGAAUGAUUACAUUUAGGAUUUAAAUUUUCUACAACUUUGGAUGAACUCUUCUAGUGGGUUGCCAGGUGAGUAGGUCCAGCAUUCCCUUCAAAGCACAUGAACUGCUACUGGUCUGUAGAGAAAGAGGGUGCAAUUCAGUCAGGAUUAGUGGGCACAACAUUUAUAACAUAACACACCAACCUGUGGAACUCAGUGCCUUAGGUGAACACCUUGGUAAGAUUCAAGAGAAGAUUACGUAUUGUAUCUGAAUAAAGAAUUCUGCAAUUACUCUCUAGUAUAAAAGCUUUAGCCACAUGUCAGACCUCAUGUUUCAAGUUAUAAGCCAAUCUGCUAGACCCCAAAAGAAACUCUCCCCAUGGUUUAUUAUUACACAAGUGCCUUUCUUUAAACAAUUACCACUGUUAAACAGUCAGGUAGUAAGUGCACCAUUAGUCAGGUCUGGUAUGGCAAUUCUGAGGUUGAACUCCAAGAUACUUUCAGGGAUCAAAUUAUUUUAAAAACUUCAUGGCUAUAAUUUAGCCUGGCGAUAUACUCAGUAUUGCUUUGGAUUAUAACCUAUUUCUGAACCAAAGGCAACCAUAAAAAUAUAAAUUGCAUUGCUACACAAUCCGGGUUAGUGCUACCCUAGUUAACUGCAAUUUUAUUAUCAAUUUGUAAAAUAAGUCCAGGUCUUCUGAAAAUACCAAAUAUUAGUCUGCAUAAUUGACAGUUGACAGCUUUUUCAUCGGGUGAAAAAAAGCCAGUUGCAAAUAUAAAACUAGCAGCUCCUAGCAUACUGCUUCAACCAGUAAAAAGGCUUAUUUACACACUGGCGAGGUAACAUUUAUUCUUCAAAUUCUAGACAUGCAUACUGAAAACUACUGCUCUGUCCAGCCUAUUGACCUGCACUCAAACCUUAGUUGAAUGCUUAGGAACACUGGCAGGAAUGGAAGAGAUCACUGCUAACUCUUUGGGAGGUGCUGCAAACCUAGAGCAAUGGACGCCAAUAUAAGACCCUCAGUAAAAAGCUCUGCAAUUAACUCUUGUCAUCAUGUUAAGUGUUUAUAAUACCUAAGUAGCUGCUGCAGCUAAAGAUGGGACUAGUCUGUCUUCUACAUUUUUUUGCUUUUGUGAUUAAGGCAGUCCUUUUGUCCCAUUUAAUUAUUAAACUAGAAGUACAUGAAAAAUCAAAUUUGUGCAUGAAUGAUGGGAAUGCUUUUUAUAAUCUGUGAUGUUAUUUUGUAAGUUAUCUACCAUAAAUGUCUGAAACAACUCCAAUUUUGGAUUUGCCUCACCGCCAUGCAAAAGUAUUGCAAGUUUGUUACAAGCGCAAUUACGUUCUUUAAUAAAAUCUUUAGCUCAUACCUAA
Molecule: RNA transcript, 10319 nt
Organism: Chelonia mydas (Green sea turtle)
Lineage: Eukaryota; Metazoa; Chordata; Testudines; Cheloniidae
Gene: NBN
Gene name: nibrin
Exons: 17
Source: RefSeq, a predicted model, not a curated record